RNAcentral lists this ribosomal RNA (288 nucleotides) under uncultured soil bacterium. RNAcentral describes it as "partial 16S ribosomal RNA". It matches the Rfam family "Bacterial small subunit ribosomal RNA", at positions 26 to 316 of the family's 1533-position model. The record is from RNAcentral.
AGAUUGAACGCUGGCGGCAGGCCUAACACAUGCAAGUCGAGCGGUAGAGAGGUGCUUGCAUCUCUUGAGAGCGGCGGACGGGUGAGUAAUGCCUAGGAAUCUGCCUAGUGGUGGGGGAUAACGUUCGGAAACGGACGCUAAUACCGCAUACGUCCUACGGGAGAAAGCGGGGGACCUUCGGGCCUCGCGCCAUUAGAUGAGCCUAGGUCGGAUUAGCUAGUUGGUGAGGUAAUGGCUCACCAAGGCGACGAUCCGUAACUGGUCUGAGAGGAUGAUCAGUCACACGUA